This 253-nucleotide ribosomal RNA is filed under the name uncultured bacterium. RNAcentral describes it as "partial 16S ribosomal RNA". It matches the Rfam family "Bacterial small subunit ribosomal RNA", at positions 524 to 776 of the family's 1533-position model. The record is from RNAcentral.
CACGUAGGGGGCGAGCGUUGUCCGGAUUUAUUGGGCGUAAAGAGCGUGUAGGCGGCCAGGUAGGUCUGCUGUGAAAACUCGAGGCUCAACCUCGAGACGUCGGCGGAAACCAUCUGGCUAGAGUCCGGAAGAGGAGAGUGGAAUUCCUGGUGUAGCGGUGAAAUGCGCAGAUAUCAGGAAGAACACCCGUGGCGAAGGCGGCUCUCUGGGGCGGUACUGACGCUGAGACGCGAAAGCGUGGGGAGCGAACAGG